ACGGGAGGCAGCAGUGGGGAAUAUUGCACAAUGGGCGCAAGCCUGAUGCAGCGAUGCCGCGUGAGGGAAGAAGGUUUUCGGAUUGUAAACCUCUGUCAACAGGGACGAAAAUGACGGUACCUGUGAAGGAAGCUCCGGCUAACUACGUGCCAGCAGCCGCGGUAAUACGUAGGGAGCAAGCGUUAUCCGGGAUUACUGGGUGUAAAGGGAGUGUAGGCGGGACUGUAAGUCAGAUGUGAAAUAUGCCGGCUCAACUGGCAGACUGCAUUUGAAACUGCGGUUCUUGAGUGAAGUAGAGGUAAGCGGAAUUCCUAGUGUAGCGGUGAAAUGCGUAGAUAUUAGGAGGAACAUCAGUGGCGAAGGCGGCUUACUGGACAGAGACUGACGCUGAGGCUCGAAAGCGUGGGGAGCAAACAGGAUUAGAUACCCUGGUA
This 434-nucleotide ribosomal RNA is filed under the name uncultured Ruminococcus sp. RNAcentral describes it as "bacterial SSU rRNA". It matches the Rfam family "Bacterial small subunit ribosomal RNA", at positions 341 to 792 of the family's 1533-position model. Lineage: Bacteria; Bacillati; Bacillota; Clostridia; Eubacteriales; Oscillospiraceae. The record is from RNAcentral.